This 253-nucleotide ribosomal RNA is filed under the name uncultured bacterium. Its description in RNAcentral is "partial 16S ribosomal RNA". It matches the Rfam family "Bacterial small subunit ribosomal RNA", at positions 524 to 776 of the family's 1533-position model. The record is from RNAcentral.
UACGUAUGGUGCGGGCGUUAUCCGGAUUUACUGGGUGUAAAGGGAGCGCAGGCGGCGCGGCAAGUCCGAUGUGAAAACCCCCGGCUCAACCGGGGGACUGCAUUGGAAACUACCGGGCUGGAGUGCCGGAGAGGUAGGCGGAAUUCCUGGUGUAGCGGUGAAAUGCGUAGAUAUCAGGAGGAACACCAGUGGCGAAGGCGGCCUACUGGACGGUGACUGACGCUGAGGCUCGAAAGCGUGGGGAGCAAACAGG